Thunnus maccoyii (southern bluefin tuna) is the source of this 836-nucleotide long non-coding RNA. RefSeq lists it as uncharacterized. The record is from RefSeq and is a predicted model, not a curated record. The transcript has 3 exons. Lineage: Eukaryota; Metazoa; Chordata; Actinopteri; Scombriformes; Scombridae.
AUGAUUACAGCAAGAAAAAACAGCUUUAAUGUUCAUUUGAUCCUGACCUUUAAAUGCAAAAUGUAACGUUAGCUUGACUUAAGGAAGGUUUAAACCUUAAAAGCUAUUUGUUAGCCACAGCUAACGUAGCCGAGGCUAACUGGAGCAUUUUAGCAUUAGUAUUAAUGUGUUCCAUACUGAACUGAUACUGGACAAACUUUGUUCCGUAUUUUUGAGAAUCAAUCAGUGAUUUCCCUCCAGUUCCACCAUCAAUGCCGUCGGCGUUCCGUGUUUCCGUUUCAGGAAGUUGGCGAGCCUCGUGGUCGUAGCGUUAAACCGUCCCGACCUUCCCGUGUUCUGGUCUGUGUGAAUGAUGUAAAGCCUGACAGCGUCUCAUUUACUGUAUCUACAGUCACCUGCUGAUCAUCAGCUUUCACUUUCAUUGAUUGUUUUUCCAGGUGCAGCAGUCGUCUGGAUGUUUGGGGGGGAAGCAGGAGUCACUCUGAUAAAGAGUGAACCUGCGUUGUCACGGUAACCAAGGUCAUGGCGAUGACCCCGAGACUCCCCAGACACCACAGACAGGUAUUCAACAUGUGAACUUGUAACCUGUCUGAGAUCGUCUGCAGCUUCUGUCUGACUCUCAUUCAGAUCAUUGAGACGAGAACGUCAGCUGAUUAUUAUUUAUGUUAUUUCUGUCUGCAGACUUCAUUGUGUCUGUUUGUCAGAGUGAACAUGUUUUAGUUAUUAUUCAUGUUGAGCUGCAUGACUCUAACGACCUGCUUUACAGGAAAAUGUCAAAUACAGUCAAAUAUAUAUUCUUUUAAUUAUCAUGUUAUUAAAGGUAUCAUGCAUCAGUG